GGGCUCGUAGCGUAACGGUUAUCGCGCCUCGAUGGCAUCGAGGAGAUUAGGGGUUCGAUUCCCCUCGGGUCCA
Molecule: non-coding RNA, 73 nt
Organism: Candidatus Gottesmanbacteria bacterium
Lineage: Bacteria; Candidatus Gottesmaniibacteriota
Source: Rfam